This 467-nucleotide ribosomal RNA is filed under the name uncultured bacterium. Its description in RNAcentral is "partial 16S ribosomal RNA". It matches the Rfam family "Bacterial small subunit ribosomal RNA", at positions 28 to 507 of the family's 1533-position model. The record is from RNAcentral.
GACGAACGCUGGCGGUGUGCUUAACACAUGCAAGUCGAACGGAAAGGCCUCUUUCGGGGGGUACUCGAGUGGCGAACGGGUGAGUAACACGUGAGUAACCUGCCCUUGACUUUGGGAUAACUUCUGGAAACUGGGGCUAAUACCGGAUAGGAGCUCCUGCCGCCUGGUGGGGGCUGGAAAGUUUCGGCGGUUGGGGAUGAACUGGCGGCUUAUCGGCUUGUUCGUGGGGUAGUGGCUUACCAAGGCCUUGGCGGGGAGCCGUCCAGUGGGGGUGACCGACGAUAUUGACCCUUACGUCCGGCCCAGAUUCCUACUGGUGGCAGAUGUGGGGAAUAUUGCUCAAUCGGUAGCGGCCUGAUGAAGCAGCGCUGCGGGCGGGAUAACGGUCUUCGGGUUAUAGACCGCUAUCACUCAAGACGAAGCUUUGUGUGACGGUAGUGGAUGAAGAAGCACCGGCUAACUACGUG